This 589-nucleotide ribosomal RNA is filed under the name Salmonella enterica. RNAcentral describes it as "partial 23S ribosomal RNA". It matches the Rfam family "Bacterial large subunit ribosomal RNA", at positions 57 to 688 of the family's 2925-position model. Lineage: Bacteria; Pseudomonadati; Pseudomonadota; Gammaproteobacteria; Enterobacterales; Enterobacteriaceae. RNAcentral also lists the same sequence under 1 other name. The record is from RNAcentral.
CGUGCUAAUCUGCGAUAAGCGCCGGUAAGGUGAUAUGAACCGUUAUAACCGGCGAUACCCGAAUGGGGAAACCCAGUGUGACUCGUCACACUAUCAUUAACUGAAUCCAUAGGUUAAUGAGGCGAACCGGGGGAACUGAAACAUCUAAGUACCCCGAGGAAAAGAAAUCAACCGAGAUUCCCCCAGUAGCGGCGAGCGAACGGGGAGGAGCCCAGAGCCUGAAUCAGCAUGUGUGUUAGUGGAAGCGUCUGGAAAGGCGCGCGAUACAGGGUGACAGCCCCGUACACAAAAGCGCAUGUGCUGUGAGCUCGAUGAGUAGGGCGGGACACGUGGUAUCCUGUCUGAAUAUGGGGGGACCAUCCUCCAAGGCUAAAUACUCCUGACUGACCGAUAGUGAACCAGUACCGUGAGGGAAAGGCGAAAAGAACCCCGGCGAGGGGAGUGAAAAAGAACCUGAAACCGUGUACGUACAAGCAGUGGGAGCACCCUUUGGGGUGUGACUGCGUACCUUUUGUAUAAUGGGUCAGCGACUUAUAUUCUGUAGCAAGGUUAACCGAAUAGGGGAGCCGGAGGGAAACCGAGUCUUAAC